AAUAGAUGCACUUGCCUGCGCCAUGUGAAGGCAAAAAGGCAAAAUCUUUGUUGUUGUUGUUCUUUCUCAAGCUUCCUUCUACCCAUGCUGCUGAAGGAAGGUAUGGUGUGCCCAAGGUGAGUCUUCCCACGUCAAUUCAACUGAUGUGUCCAGUGGCUUCUCUGAUGGUCAGUUCUAGAUCCAGUCAAGUUGACAACAUUGAACAUUAUGGCCACCCACAGAGAAGAUAAGGACCCAGUAUGUAGUAAAAACAAACAAGACACAUCUUAUAAUUCAAGGAGAAGAAAAUGGGUGACCCACAGAGAAACUUGGUAGGGAAGAAAGCUACAUGACUGCUGGACACCUCAAGGCUGUGAAGGGAAGACCAGGAGACAGACUGAAAACAGAUUACGGUUCAGAUUUCUUCCCUGAGGAACAUUCAUUCCAGUCGCUUUCUCUACCAAUGAGAGACUCCAACUCCUCUCCCUUGGAAUAUGACUGAUUGCCCCAUUCCACAGGAGUCAAACUCUAGAACAUUCCCACCUGAAGACCUGUGACUCCUGUUGCUACCAGAUUCUAUCCUAUUAAUUAAUUAAUCAAUUAAUUAAGCUGGGAAUUGAACUUGGGGCCUUACAUGUGCUAGGCAAACACUCUACCACAGAGGCAUACUCCCACCCUCCUCCUAAUUAUCCCAAGCCCAGCCAUGUGGCUUGUGUUUGGAUUUCUACUCAUCAUUGCUGUGUGCAGCAAGGACUCAAGAGACAAAGCAGGAACACACUGGUUUGCCCAGGACCCUCUCCCAAUCUGAUGGUUCUCUUCCUUCUAGUAAGUGCACACACUUUUAUUUCAGAGAGCUCUAAGUGUAGCCUUGAUGCUGGCCUAAGACUGUCACUUUCAUCUUCCAAAGAGAAUCUCUGCAUCUACCAUGGAGACUUCUGCCCUGGAAAGGAGCAGGAGUGUGGGAGGAGACGUCAGCUGCAAAGACAUCGUCUACAUUGUAAGGAGGCGCUGGGACAGAUGAGGCCAGAGGUGGGCAGCUAUUACAGUUCGGAUUUGAAAUAUCCUAGAACGCUCACAUGUUGAAGGUUGGUUCAGUUGUCUGUGCAACUAGGAGGUGGGAACCUAGAUAGAAGAAGGAAGUCAUGGAGGGGAGGAGGAGGGAACUGGGAUUGACAUGUAAAACAAUCUUGUUUCUAAUAAAUAAAAAUAUGGAGACAAAACAAUAAAAACAAC
RNAcentral lists this long non-coding RNA (1212 nucleotides) under Cricetulus griseus (Chinese hamster). RNAcentral describes it as "lncRNA (ENSCGRG00015042623.1)". The record is from RNAcentral. Lineage: Eukaryota; Metazoa; Chordata; Mammalia; Rodentia; Cricetidae.